UCCAUUUUAUUCCAUGAAAAUGAUGAGAAAACCAUCCAAUAAGCUAUGAUAACAAAGAAUCCAUUCUCCAAUAAUUAAGUUGAGCUCAACGAAUACAAUGUGUUACCACAUUUUAUGUGUACAGUAGUUGAGAAAGGGCCACGUUGCUGUACCUAUUGCUUUAAUGCAAGGAAGAAGUGAUCAUUACGUUGUGAAACAGACACAUGUCCUAUCGGCUUGGUUGUUUACGGGCAACCAUUGUGUGGAAGCCCAACUUCAUGUUUGGCUUGUGAAUAAACACAGCCCUGUCCCAGAAAAUGAUACCCUCUUCCCCCGCCCCACAAAAACAACAAAAACAAGAACAUUAUCGACCGCCUUAACGUCGAUGGAUUGCCGACAAGAUGAGAAUAAUAGAGAAUCAAGAAUUUUAAUUGCACUUACGGUAAUACAUGGUUAAUUAAUUAGUUAAUCCAAUGAGCUGCAAGGUUCAGUGUUUAAUAAUUCUACUAUUCUAGCCAUCUCCUUGUUGUUUCACUACAUGUCAAUUUAGGGUUCCAUAAAGUAUAUUUAUUGUAAGAAGACCACCCUAAACCGCACCAGAGAUCAUGAUAAUUAAUUUUUCCAAUAACUGCUCAGUAUGCUUCGUUCCCCGCGCCCUACCAUCCACUAGAAAGGAUAAGUUCAUAGACAAGAGAGUCCUGGAGAGUCAAAAUUUUAUGGUGAUCAAGAAUGAGUAAUUGUUCACUAAUGUUUAUUUGCAUUAUAAUCUUCCUUUUUCUUGUUUCGAAUGAAAGAAAAUCAAAUAUAAUUUACCUUAGCUUCCUUCCACAAAGUAAAAUAGAGUACCUUGUUAAUUCAUAAUAAAUAUGCGGCCAUAAACUUAAUUAGUUUGGUGACGAGGGGGUAUCCAAACCAUUAUUUAAACAUAUACAUGAGACCCAGCAAAAAAACAAAAAAAAGAUUCAGUAAGAUAAAAUAACUUUAUUAAAGAAACAAACUAAGAUGAUAUUACGAUUUUGCUAAGGCAUUGCUAUUUGAAACGCUAACUGCAGUUACGUUAUUCAUGCUCUUAAGUCUUAGCUACUAUAAUUUAAAUAAUUUGCUAAAGUUACACAGCCUCGUCUACACCACGUAAUAGCACGCGAAAAGAAAAAAAAUCACAGAAACUACUUUGAAUUUAUUUAUUUAUCUGGACAGGAGGAUUUGAGAACACAUGUAAAAUAUCAUUCGUCGAUCUAGAUAAUUAUGAUUUGGUUUGUUAAUUUACAUUUUAAUUUUGAAGGAGACGUUGACUCGAUCUUAAUCUGUUUCUUUCUGAUCAAUAAAUUCUUUAAUUUAAUUUCAUUAAAAAAUUAGUAAUUGAUCUUGGGUUUCA
Molecule: long non-coding RNA, 1354 nt
Organism: Populus euphratica (Euphrates poplar)
Lineage: Eukaryota; Viridiplantae; Streptophyta; Magnoliopsida; Malpighiales; Salicaceae
Exons: 2
Source: RefSeq, a predicted model, not a curated record